This 497-nucleotide ribosomal RNA is filed under the name uncultured bacterium. RNAcentral's name for it is "partial 16S ribosomal RNA". It matches the Rfam family "Bacterial small subunit ribosomal RNA", at positions 28 to 507 of the family's 1533-position model. The record is from RNAcentral.
GAUGAACGCUGGCGGCGUGCCUAAUACAUGCAAGUCGAGCGAACGGACGAGAAGCUUGCUUCUCUGAUGUUAGCGGCGGACGGGUGAGUAACACGUGGAUAACCUACCUAUAAGACUGGGAUAACUUCGGGAAACCGGAGCUAAUACCGGAUAAUAUUUUGAACCGCAUGGUUCAAAAGUGAAAGACGGUCUUGCUGUCACUUAUAGAUGGAUCCGCGCUGCAUUAGCUAGUUGGUAAGGUAACGGCUUACCAAGGCAACGAUGCAUAGCCGACCUGAGAGGGUGGUCGGCCACACUGGAACUGAGACACGGUCCAGACUCCUACGGGAGGCAGCAGUAGGGAAUCUUCCGCAAUGGACGAAAGCCUGACGGAGCAACGCCGCGUGAGUGAUGAAGGUCUUCGGAUCGUAAAACUCUGUUAUUAGGGAAGAACAUAUGUGUAAGUAACUGUGCACAUCUUGACGGUACCUAAUCAGAAAGCCACGGCUAACUACGUG